This 240-nucleotide ribosomal RNA is filed under the name uncultured bacterium. Its description in RNAcentral is "partial 16S ribosomal RNA". It matches the Rfam family "Bacterial small subunit ribosomal RNA", at positions 15 to 252 of the family's 1533-position model. The record is from RNAcentral.
GAUCCUGGCUCAGGAUGAACGCUGGCGGCGUGCUUAACACAUGCAAGUCGAACGAUGAAGCCCGUGCUUGCACGGGUGGAUUAGUGGCGAACGGGUGAGUAUCACGUGAGUAACCUGCCCUUAACUCUGGGAUAAGCCUGGGAAACUGGGUCUAAUACCGGAUACGACCAGUCACCGCAUGGUGUGCUGGUGGAAAGCUUUUGCGGUUUUGGAUGGACUCGCGGCCUAUCAGCUAGACGG